RNAcentral lists this unclassified non-coding RNA (309 nucleotides) under air metagenome. Its description in RNAcentral is "partial contains small subunit ribosomal RNA, internal transcribed spacer 1, and 5.8S ribosomal RNA". The stretch from base 1 to 46 matches the Rfam family "Eukaryotic small subunit ribosomal RNA", at positions 1786 to 1831 of the family's 1831-position model. The record is from RNAcentral.
AAGUCGUAACAAGGUUUCCGUAGGUGAACCUGCGGAAGGAUCAUUAUUGAAUAACUAUGGUGUUGGUUGUUGCUGGCUUCUAGGAGCAUGUGCACACCCGCCAUUCUUAUCUUUCCACCUGUGCACUUUAUGUAGGUCUGGAUAACUCUCGCUCUUGAGCGGACACAGGGAUUGUUGCUUGCAACUCUCCUUGAAUUUCCAGAUCUAUGUAUUUUUACAUACCCCAAUUGAAUGAUGAAGAAUGUAGUCAAUGGGCUUUUAAGCCUAUAAAACAUAAUACAACUUUCAGCAACGGAUCUCUUGGCUCUC